AAUGAACGUUGGCGGCGUGGAUUAGGCAUGCAAGUCGCGCGACAAGGAACCUUCGGGUUCUGGAGGAGCGGCAAACGGGGUAGUAAGGCAUCGGAACGUACCCUCUUGUUGGGAAUAGCCGCGGGAAACUGCGAGUAAUGCCCAAUAAUCCCUACGGGGCAAAGGUCCGCCGCAGGAGGAGCGGCCGAUGUGAUACCAGCUAGUUGGUGAGGUAAUGGCUCACCAAGGCUUAGACGUCUAGGGGGUGUGAGAGCAUGGCCCCCACACUGGGACUGAGAUACUGCCCAGACACCUACGGGUGGCUGCAGUCGAGAAUCUUCGGCAAUGGGCGCAAGCCUGACCGAGCAACGCCGCGUGCGGGAUGAAGGGCCCUCGGUUGUAAGCUCUUUCGGUCCGGGAAGAAA
RNAcentral lists this ribosomal RNA (404 nucleotides) under uncultured bacterium. Its description in RNAcentral is "bacterial SSU rRNA". It matches the Rfam family "Bacterial small subunit ribosomal RNA", at positions 29 to 450 of the family's 1533-position model. The record is from RNAcentral.